RNAcentral lists this ribosomal RNA (403 nucleotides) under Pinna nobilis. RNAcentral describes it as "partial 16S ribosomal RNA". It matches the Rfam family "Bacterial large subunit ribosomal RNA", at positions 1952 to 2579 of the family's 2925-position model. Lineage: Eukaryota; Metazoa; Mollusca; Bivalvia; Pterioida; Pinnidae. The record is from RNAcentral.
UAUGUGGUAGCGAAAUUCCUAGCCUUUUAAUUGGAGGCCUGCAUGAAUGGCUUGACGAGCGCCCUGCUGUCUCUCUUCCCAUGAACUUUUAAAUUAACUUUCGCGUGCAAAGGCGCGAAUGGCUGAGUUAGACGAAAAGACCCUAUGCAUCUUUACUGAGAGAGAAGAAAGUUCUUUAGCUUGGUUUAGCUGGGGCAGCUGAGGAAAAGGCAAAAUUUCCUUAAUAUAAAUCAUACUGGUGGGUUUAGAUCCAGGCUCUUUAGCGGGCUUGACAAGUAGAAAAGUUACGCUAGGGAUAACAGCGUUAUCCUUCUGUGGAGGUCUUAUCUGCAGGAGGGAUUGCGACCUCGAUGUUGAAUUAGGGAUAUACCAGAAAGGCGCAGAAGCUUUUAUUGUGGGUCUG